GACGAACGCUGGCGGCGUGCUUAACACAUGCCAGUCGAACGGAAAGGCCCUGCUUGCAGGGUACUCGAGUGGCGAACGGGCGAGUAACACGUGGGUGAUCUGCCCUGCACUUCGGGAUAAGCUUGGGAAACUGGGUCUAAUACCGGAUAGGAGCCAUCUUUAGUGUGGUGGUUGGAAAGUUUUUUCGGUGUAGGAUGAGCUCGCGGCCUAUCAGCUUGUUGGUGGGGUAAUGGCCUACCAAGGCGGCGACGGGUAGCCGGCCUGAGAGGGUGUACGGCCACAUUGGGACUGAGAUACGGCCCAGACUCCUACGGGAGGCAGCAGUGGGGAAUAUUGCACAAUGGGCGCAAGCCUGAUGCAGCGACGCCGCGUGGGGGAUGAAGGCCUUCGGGUUGUAAACUCCUGUCGCUAGGGACGAAGCUUUUUUGUGACGGUACCUAGAUAAGAAGCACCGGCUAACUACGUG
Molecule: ribosomal RNA, 466 nt
Filed under: uncultured bacterium
Lineage: Bacteria
Description: partial 16S ribosomal RNA
Rfam family: Bacterial small subunit ribosomal RNA
Source: RNAcentral